CCUACUGCUAUCGGGAUAGGACUAAGACAUGUUAGUCGUGCGUCUCCCAGCCACGAAGGAGACGCGGCGCACGGCUCAGUAACAUGUGGCUAACCUGCCCUUAGGACAGAGACAAACCCGGGAAACUGGGGCUAAUCACUGAUAGGUGUAGGCUUCUGGAAUGGACUUACACCCAAAAGACGUUUAGAUCAUGCUUUAGAUGUCGCCUAAGGAUGGGGCCGCAGCCGAUCAGGUUGUUGGCGAGGUAAUGGCUCACCAAGCCUUUGACCGGUACGGGCCGCGGGAGCGGUAACCCGGAGAUGGACACUGAGACAAGGGUCCAGGCCCUACGGGGCGCAGCAGUCGCGAAAACUCCGCAAUACACGAAAGUGUGACGGGGCUAUCCCGAGUGCCGUCCGCUGAGGAUGGCUUUUCUUCAGUGUAAGGAGCUGGAGGAAUAAGGAGAGGGCAAGUCUGGUGUCAGCCGCCGCGGUAAUACCAGCUCCCCGAGUGGUAGGGACGUUUAUUGGGCUUAAAGCGUCCGUAGCUGGCUCAACAAGUCCUCUGUUAAAUCCAGCGAUUUAAUCGUUGGACUGCAGGGGAUACUGUUGGACUAGGAGACGGGAGAGGCCGACGGUAUUCUCGGAGUAGGGGUGAAAUCCUAUAAUCCCGGGAGGACCACCAGUGGCGAAGGCUGUCGGCUAGAACGAGCUCGACGGUGAGGGACGAAAGCUGGGGAGCGAACCGGAUUAGAUACCCGGGUAGUCCCAGCCGUAAACGAUGCGGGCUAGGUGUUAGGGUGGCUACGAGCCACUCUAGUGCCGCAGUGAAGGCGUUAAGCCCGCCGCCUGGGGAGUACGGCCGCAAGGCUGAAACUUAA
This 859-nucleotide ribosomal RNA is filed under the name uncultured archaeon. RNAcentral describes it as "bacterial SSU rRNA". It matches the Rfam family "Archaeal small subunit ribosomal RNA", at positions 23 to 859 of the family's 1478-position model. The record is from RNAcentral.